CUACACUCGAUCUCAUGACCAAGUUGGUGUGAUGGUCAUGGCUCUCUCUGGGUAUGGGCAAGUCAUCCUGGUUUUUCAAGGAGAGGAAAACACUGGGCACCCCUUAACAAUGUGAGUGGCCCAUAGGUCAGAACAAAGGGCUCCAAACUCCACAGCUGAGUUUGAAAUGUGCAGUGGCUCUAGAGUUGGAUGGGUAGAGGGCGUAUUCAUGUGUCACAAAGAUGUGACAUUUUCCAUGCUUGGUUUCAUCUAACCCACUUAAACCAUAGCAAUCAGCGGAUCCAUUGUCCUAGGGAAGUAGAAGUGUUGAGCAAACUGCUAAUCUCUCUGCCUGGAUGGGCUGGUGAGGGAGUUGAACUGUCUACGCAAGGUGGGACAAGGAAGUGCCCCUGGUAAGAUAGAAAUGGUAGGAGGGGACGAGACACUCAGAGACCUGCUUGAAUAGGGCAGGUCUUGCUCCCUCAGCCUCAGGCCAAGGUACAGUGAGGACCUGGAAAAGGGGGCAGCAGUUCCCCAUUCACCAGACAUUUCAGAGCGGCUCAAUUUUGGUGCAGUGCAUUGACUAAAGCAGUCGCUCCCUUUUCCUGUCUUUCUGGAAACUAUUUUCUUCUCUGUUGGCCACCGGGAAGAGUGACAGAAAUGCAUCUAUGGCCCUGAUGUAGGCAAGAUACACUUAACUAUCCCACAUAAGCCUCCUAUGGCUGACAAGAGUCCUGCGUCCCCAGCUAUGGGACAGUCAGCCACUGCCCAGUCUGACAGUGUUUGUGGACUGGCUGCAGGACAUGGGGAUGGGCAGGGCCAUAGACAGCAACUAUCCUGAAACACACACACGGUUCCCUUCAGAGGGAAUGUGACUGGCAAGGAAAGGCCUCUCUGAUCUUCAGUCUACUCUCCUCUCACAGUGUCUUCAACCCUCUAUGCCAGAACUUCAUGGACCAUCCUCGUGGGAACUUUCCCCAGUGCCUGGACCCAUUGAUGCUCCAGGGUCUGAACACUUUCAUGGCUCCAGCUCCUGCUACAGCACCAGCACAGGAUGGUCUGGAGCCGUUUCCAUUUUUGGAUGUUAGACUAGGUUUGGAGUUUGAAGAAGCAUCAUGGUGCAUUCAUGGAACUCCAACCCUGAGUUUUCACUUCGUAUCUGUAUCUGAGAUGUUGGCAUGUAUACCACUAUGGCCAGAGGUUGAGCUGGAUACAGCACCAUUCCCGGCUCCCACAUCACAGUCCCCAGGAGAGCCCUCUAAAGAGCAGGAAAAAUCCCUGCCAGAAGACCAGGGCUUAGCCGUAUGUCUCUAUCUUGGGCCUGCUCAAGAAAAAGAGCCAUCUUUUCCCCCUCCUGAGCAGGUCAUUUUAUUCUUCGUUAUCACAUUUUCCCUUAUGUUCUUUAUUUUUCAUUGUCAUAUUUACUUUUUCUUUUUAGGUAUGUAUUAAAUUAAUAUUUAUUAUUACCCUGUUGUGGUGUGCAAAUUGUUGUCUUAAGUACAUUUAAUGUUGAGCAACCAUCCUCACUUUGUGGUCCAGAACCUAUCUUUACCCCAAACUAGAAGCUCAGGCUCCUGACAUCCCCUCUCCCUUUUGGCUUCAUUUGCAUGGCGAGUCCCACAGGUCUGCUUCUCUCCUUGUAUCUCCUUGCCCUGGUGCUGCAUUCAGGAUGUGGAACAUCUUAGGACCUGGCCCAGAGUCGAACUUGGUCAGGGAGCCUUUCUCAUUAUUUGACAGGCAGGGACACUGCAGCUCAAGGAGGUAAUGAGGUCAGCUGGAAUGUCGGGGAACAGGGACUGGUACUCUAACCAGGGCACAGAGCAUAGCAAGCUGCCUUUUUUCUUAGUAUUCUCUUUGUAUGGAACCCUCCCAUUUUCUGCUCCUUCCAAAUGCUCAUCCCACAUACCUUUUCCACUUCUGGCAGUGUCUGUUCAGGAGAGACUAUGGCAUUGUUGACAACAUAUGUCCAUAUAAUCAUGCUUGUGGUGAAGAUCAUCCCUGUGACAUCCUGAAAACUGCCCACCUGAUUUCCAUCCACUAAGUAGGCCAGGUGGGCAUUUAGGAGCAUGGGGAUCACUUAGGUGGAGACCUGGUUCCUUGUGAGGAUUUCAGCAGGAAAAGCCCAAUUUGGUUCGGUGCUCACUGGGCUGCCUAUCCUAGAGAAUAGGUCUAGAGGGAGCCUACUGGGGGAGAUUCUAAGAGUUUGGGGAAGACACCAGGCCUCCCAAAGAAACUGGGAUUCUUAGGUGUGGGCAAGGAAAAGGCACUGGCCUUAUUUAGUGUUUUACGAUGUGUGACUCCAGUUGCUUCAUGUGGGGUGGAAAGGAAAGUGCUGGAGUGGGGACCUCCAGGAAAUCUCUGGCCUCUCCCUGGGCCCACAAGCCUGUGAGUAAGAGGACACAGUAUUGUGCCUUGGUGUGACACCCAGGCCUCCAAACCCUGCUCCCUGGGCUGGGCUGCCAUGGGCAGGAAAUGCACCACCCAGGGAAGGGAUCUUGGGCAUGGCCCAGCUCUGAGCUGAAGGUGAUGCACUUGACAUCUGAAGUUUUCUGUGUAACUUCUUUAAUCCAGGUCUCUCACGUCACAUCCUGAGAAUUGGGGGCUUUCCCACAUUCCACUUAGGCUGGGGUGCUGGCUGAGGAGGGGCCCUGUGGGGACAUAUCACUGUGCUGUAGAAGCCACUGCAAACAUAGCAACCAAAACAUCAUUUUCCAAAGCUGGCUCUGUCUUCUGCUGCUUUUCUGGGGUGGUGCUGGAUGUGUGGGGAGGAGACCUGCUCCCACAUCCAGUGGCUUCAUUCAGCAAGUGUUUGUUUUGAAAGCCCCUGCCUGGCACUAUUCUAGGGACUAGGAAUAGAGCAAGGAAGGGAGCCUCCAGAGAUCCUUUUCCCCCUGAAGCUCAUUUUGUCUUUGGCUUUCUGUUGUCAUUUCUUAGUUUGUCCUGUUAUUUGAACCUUUAAUGUACCCUUCCUAAUCUUCAUGUCUAUACUCUUCUCAAGUCUGUUCUCUCACCCUCUUUUUUUUUUUUUUCCCCCAGGCUGCAGCACUCCCUUAAUAUCUCUGGUAAUUCUGGUCUUUUGGUAAGGUGGUCUCUCAGUUUUUCUUUCUCUGUGAAGACUUUAAACUCACCCUCAUUUUUGAAGGACAGUUUUGCCUGAUACAGAUUUCUUGGCUGUCAGUUUUUCUCUUCCAGUACCUUAAAUAUUUCAAACCAUUUUCUUCUCGUUUCCACGGUUUCUGAUGAAACUUUGGUAUUUAAUCUUACUGAGAUUCCCUUCUAUGUGAUACUUUCCUUUUCUCUUGCUGCUUUCAGAAUUCUCUUUAUCUCGGAUAUUUGUCAUUCUGAAUAGUAGGUGUCUUGGAGUAGGUACAUUUGGAUUUGUUUUUUUAAGGGGCACUGUUAUUUUGGAUAUUGACAGUUAUGUCAUUCAUAAGGGUUGGGAAGCUUUUGAUCAUGAUUUCUUCAGAUAUUUCUGCUCCUUUCCCAUUCUCUUCUCCUUCUGGGACAUGGAUAACUUACAUGUUUGUGUGUUUUGCAUUGUCAUUCAACUCCCUGAGACCCUGUUUCAUUUUUUCCAUUCUUGUCCCUUUGUGUUCUCCUGUCUUUUGCAGUUCCAUUUGUUCUGUCCCUGAAAUCGCUAAUUCUAUCUUCAAGCAAUUCAACUUGGCUGUGUGUCCCUAAUGUAUUUCUCUUUAAGAUUUAUUUUACUUAUUUCUCUCCCUUACUACCCCCCACUGUUGUCUGCUCUCUGUGUCCAUUUGCUAUGUGUUCCUAUGUGUCCGCUUGCAUUCCUGGUGGCACCAGGGGUCUGUGUCUCUUUAAAAACAAAAACAAAAAAACCUUCCCAGCUGAUGGACAAGAGUAUAGAAGUGUCUGCAAGGAAGGCUGGGGCAGGGAAUCAAGGUUGGAUUUGUAACCACAUUUAAGACUGGGAGCUUAGAAGAGGACCUCUCCAUUUUCAUCAGACUUUGUCAAAUCAAAUGAGGUACAUGUGGGAUUCUGUGCAAAGCUUUCACAAGAGUCCCAGAAUUAUGGGAGCUGCCCACUGGCAAGGCCAUUACAGGACAAUGAACGGUCCCUGAGGGGUCAUCCCAGUGAAUGAGUUCAUACCCAAGUCCACCCGUCGUGUUGGCUAAACUUGUGCCUAGUGUAUAGUGGAUGGUCCUUUAGGAGAGCAACUUUCCAAGGGGAAAUGGAAGAAAAGAAGGUGGAAUCUGUGAUGGAGAUGGAUGCACUAUUCCAACAGCAGGGUCAGCUCCACACAUCCAAGCAAUCACAAGGAUGGGUAGAAACCUUCACAACUUCCAAUAAAAAUGUUUUAUAGCAAUGUCCUUCUUAAGUCAGCAUCGAAUGUUCUCUCCUGGGACAGCAUGCAUGGUGGAGGGAAGGGAGGCUGUCCCACAGAGCUGAGCAUCUGCAUUGUUGGGAACAGUGAGGAAUAUGGUCCAGAGCAGGGUCAGGAUCCACAGCUUGGAAAAUGGCUGGUGGAUGGUCUUUCCAGCAGAAUGUAUACUUCAGGAUGGGAGAGAGAUACCAUGGAAAUGUAUGUGGGCAAGAGGGGUUGUUGCAGAGAGUCUCUGUUCAGCAAUAGGGAAAAGCAAGCACCUGAACUCAAAGGGGUUUCAGGCCCAUUGCCUGGAAUGUGCACUGGGUAAUCCGGCUAACAGGGAUGGAAAGCUCAGUUCCAGCAAUGAGAGGACCAGGUCAAGGACAAUAGGCCAGGAGAGUCCGACGGCCAGGACAAGUGGAAGCUAAUCUGCGACGGUUUGCUCGGUCGGUAGAGGUGGGGUCUGGCUGCAGACGAGGG
Long non-coding RNA from Dasypus novemcinctus (nine-banded armadillo), 4786 nucleotides. The record is from Ensembl. Lineage: Eukaryota; Metazoa; Chordata; Mammalia; Cingulata; Dasypodidae.